This 432-nucleotide ribosomal RNA is filed under the name uncultured bacterium. RNAcentral describes it as "partial 16S ribosomal RNA". It matches the Rfam family "Bacterial small subunit ribosomal RNA", at positions 29 to 506 of the family's 1533-position model. The record is from RNAcentral.
AGCGAGCGCUGGCGGCAGGCCUAACACAUGCAAGUCGAACGAACUCUUCGGAGUUAGUGGCGGACGGGUGAGUAACACGUGGGAACGUGCCUUUUGGUUCGGAAUAACUCAGGGAAACUUGUGCUAAUACCGAAUGUGCCCUUCGGGGGAAAGAUUUAUCGCCAUUAGAGCGGCCCGCGUCUGAUUAGCUAGUUGGUGAGGUAACGGCUCACCAAGGCGACGAUCAGUAGCUGGUCUGAGAGGAUGACCAGCCACACUGGGACUGAGACACGGCCCAGACUCCUACGGGAGGCAGCAGUGGGGAAUCUUGCGCAAUGGGCGAAAGCCUGACGCAGCCAUGCCGCGUGAAUGAUGAAGGUCUUAGGAUUGUAAAACUCUUUCACCGGGGACGAUAAGGACGGUACCCGGAGAAGAAGCCCCGGCUAACUUCGU